This 351-nucleotide ribosomal RNA is filed under the name Armina scotti. Its description in RNAcentral is "partial 16S ribosomal RNA". It matches the Rfam family "Archaeal large subunit ribosomal RNA", at positions 2002 to 2624 of the family's 2987-position model. Lineage: Eukaryota; Metazoa; Mollusca; Gastropoda; Nudibranchia; Arminidae. The record is from RNAcentral.
GAAUGGCCGCGGUACUCUGACCGUGCUAAGGUAGCGUAAUCAGUUGGCUUUUAAAUGGAGUCAGGAAUGAAUGGGAUAACCUGGUCUAGCUGUCUCCUUACUAUUUAAUCAAAUUUACUGACCAAGUGAAAAAGCUUGAAUUAGGAAAAGGGACGAGAAGACCCUUAGAAUUUUACUAAAAGUACGAAUCAGUUCUUAUUGUUGUUUUGUUGGGGUGACAAAGAAAAUAUUAAAACUUUCUUUAAAAAUACCAGCCGAGUUCACUAAGUAAGAAUAAAUUACCUGAGGGAUAACAGCAUAAUUCUACAGUUGAGUUUGUGACCUCGAUGUUGGACUAGGAAGCUGGUGGGC